RNAcentral lists this microRNA (21 nucleotides) under Lottia gigantea (owl limpet). RNAcentral's name for it is "Lgi-Mir-10-P1_3p* (star (passenger))". The record is from RNAcentral. Lineage: Eukaryota; Metazoa; Mollusca; Gastropoda; Lottiidae.
AAAUUCGUUUUUGCGGGUGAU